Molecule: transfer RNA, 57 nt
Filed under: Urocitellus parryii (Arctic ground squirrel)
Lineage: Eukaryota; Metazoa; Chordata; Mammalia; Rodentia; Sciuridae
Also listed under: 4 other names
Description: Spermophilus parryii (Arctic ground squirrel) tRNA
Rfam family: tRNA
About the family: Transfer RNA (tRNA) molecules are approximately 80 nucleotides in length. Their secondary structure includes four short double-helical elements and three loops (D, anti-codon, and T loops). Further hydrogen bonds mediate the characteristic L-shaped molecular structure. tRNAs have two regions of fundamental functional importance: the anti-codon, which is responsible for specific mRNA codon recognition, and the 3' end, to which the tRNAs corresponding amino acid is attached (by aminoacyl-tRNA synthetases). tRNAs cope with the degeneracy of the genetic code in two manners: having more than one tRNA (with a specific anti-codon) for a particular amino acid; and 'wobble' base-pairing, i.e. permitting non-standard base-pairing at the 3rd anti-codon position.
Source: Rfam by way of RNAcentral
AGCUCAGUUGGUAGAGUGCCUGCCUUGCAUGCACAAGGCCCUGGGUUCAAUCCCCAG